RNAcentral lists this small nuclear RNA (168 nucleotides) under Suricata suricatta (meerkat). Its description in RNAcentral is "U2 spliceosomal RNA (ENSSSUG00005016817.1)". It matches the Rfam family "U2 spliceosomal RNA". From Rfam's summary of the family: U2 is a small nuclear RNA (snRNA) component of the spliceosome (involved in pre-mRNA splicing). Complementary binding between U2 snRNA (in an area lying towards the 5' end but 3' to hairpin I) and the branchpoint sequence (BPS) of the intron results the bulging out of an unpaired adenosine, on the BPS, which initiates a nucleophilic attack at the intronic 5' splice site, thus starting the first of two transesterification reactions that mediate splicing. Lineage: Eukaryota; Metazoa; Chordata; Mammalia; Carnivora; Herpestidae. The record is from RNAcentral.
AUCGCUUCUCCGCCUUUUGGCUAAGAUCAAGUGUAGUAUUUAUCUAACAAAUAUUUAGAGACCUGCUAAUUGCAAAGCACAAUGUAAGGUGCUAUGGAUUCAAAAGUGAACCUGCUCUGCACAUCUAAGAUUUUUUUUUGGAGCUCCUAGAUAAGUUUAAGAAUCUGA